RNAcentral lists this ribosomal RNA (450 nucleotides) under uncultured bacterium. RNAcentral's name for it is "bacterial SSU rRNA". It matches the Rfam family "Bacterial small subunit ribosomal RNA", at positions 354 to 796 of the family's 1533-position model. The record is from RNAcentral.
GUGGGGAAUUUUGGACAAUGGGCGCAAGCCUGAUCCAGCAAUGCCGCGUGCAGGAAGAAGGCCUUCGGGUUGUAAACUGCUUUUGUACGGAACGAAACGGUCCUGGUUAAUACCUGGGGCUAAUGACGGUACCGUAAGAAUAAGCACCGGCUAACUACGUGCCAGCAGCCGCGGUAAUACGCAGGGUGCGAGCGUUAAUCGGAAUUACUGGGCGUAAAGCGUGCGCAGGCGGUGCUGUAAGACAGGCGUGAAAUCCCCGGGCUAAACCUGGGAAUUGCGCUGGUGACUGCAGUGCUGGAGUACGGCAGAGGGGGAUGGAAUUCCGCGUGUAGCAGUGAAAUGCGUAGAUAUGCGGAGGAACACCGAUGGCGAAGGCAGUCCCCUGGGCCUGUACUGACGCUCAUGCACGAAAGCGUGGGGAGCAAACAGGAUUAGAAACCCUAGUAGUCC